RNAcentral lists this ribosomal RNA (561 nucleotides) under Pleurostoma ochraceum. Its description in RNAcentral is "partial large subunit ribosomal RNA". It matches the Rfam family "Eukaryotic large subunit ribosomal RNA", at positions 62 to 648 of the family's 3401-position model. The record is from RNAcentral. Lineage: Eukaryota; Fungi; Ascomycota; Sordariomycetes; Calosphaeriales; Pleurostomataceae.
AAACCAACAGGGAUUGCCUCAGUAACGGCGAGUGAAGCGGCAACAGCUCAAAUUUGAAAUCUGGCCUCGGCCCGAGUUGUAAUUUGCAGAGGAUGCUUCUGGCGCGGCGCCUUCCGAGUUCCCUGGAACGGGACGCCACAGAGGGUGAGAGCCCCGUAUGGUCGGACUGCCUAGCCAGUGUGAAGCUCCUUCGAAGAGUCGAGUAGUUUGGGAAUGCUGCUCAAAGCGGGAGGUAUACGUCUUCUAAAGCUAAAUACCGGCCAGAGACCGAUAGCGCACAAGUAGAGUGAUCGAAAGAUGAAAAGCACCUUGAAAAGGGGGUUAAACAGUACGUGAAAUUGUUGAAAGGGAAGCGCCUGUGACCAGACUUGCGCCGGGCGGAUCAUCCAGCGUUCUCGCUGGUGCGCUCCGCCCGGCACAGGCCAGCAUCGGUUCUGGCGGGGGGAUAAAGGCGGCGGGAAUGUGGCUCCCUCGGGAGUGUUAUAGCCCGCCGCUCAAUGCCCCCGCUGGGACCGAGGACCGCGCUUCGGCAAGGAUGCUGGCGUAAUGGUCACCAGCGAC